CCUUGUACGAGUACCAUGCAUGCCUCAUGAAGUGCAUGUCCUCAAUAAAUUGAACUCGCUAUGGAUUGCAUUCCUGCUGACCGAGACCGGAAUCAGUUAGCCUAGCCUCAUCUCAUUACCGGUGGUACUACUACCUAAUCUCUAUGCUAGUGAGAUGUGGAACAGAAAUGUGCGCCUAUGCUUCUCCGCGGACAAAACAUACGUGUCGGUAACCGCAGUUCUAUCCUGAAUUUACCUUGCUUCCUGGCACCGUAUUUCUGGGAACUGUGUGUUUACCGAACCGUAUUUGCCGGAUAUACGGUCCGCAUGGGGGCAAAUUGUCCACAUGCUCACGUGGCGCCCCGUCGGCUUGCAUGCAUGAAUGAACGAACGAAACGACGAGACUGUUGUGGGCGACAUGUCAACGGCAACAAUGGCAGAUGGUCCACUGAUACUAACAUACAUCAGGCGACAUGGACCCGGCCGGUAGGCAGACAGACGCUAUACAGUAUACUCCUACUGGUCGGUAUGGCCGGCCGGGCCAACGCGUGAACUGCGUGAUGCGUCGGAAUCGGCAUUUAUCCCGUACGUACUCUCCGGCGGAGUCGCGAGCCGGCACGCCGUCGCCGGCGUCUCCAGGACUUUCGUACUUGCCGUAUUGUUUUAUUUUAUUAUGGUGGGAAAGCACGUAGACGUGGUCGUUUUCUUGCAUAUUUUAUUGUCGAAAAAGAGCGAGCACGUACUGUAUAGACGACACUGGCCCUCAUGAUACGCAAUGCAUACGUGUUCACGAGGUGGCGCGUCUCCUAACCACACACUACUACACUAGAAUGGCCAAGACUGAGGUUUGCGUAAAAUUUUCGUUCUAUUCCAUUGAUCAUGACACAGCGAGACAAAAAAUAUUACAUAUUACAUUCAUAGACCAUCUAGCAACGACUAUAAAUACUGAAGCAAGCCGAAGGCAAUGCCGCUGUCAUCACACCUCCCUCGCUGGAGCCGGGCGAAACUUGUUCUAAUUGACAGUUAAGAAGUCGUCGUGCUAUGAAAUUAAUUACAAUCAAAUCCUAAACGAAAAUUAGGGGAGAGGCGAAAUUAGGGGAGAGGCGGCCAUGGCGGCGGAGGUACCCCCGGCAGAUCUCGCCGCCGGGAGAUCCUUGGAGAAGGGGAGCGGCUGUCCAAAGGGAGAGUGCGUUGUUGAGGGGAGGAGCACGGGGAACCACAUCUCACUGCUGGAUGUGGACGACCUCAAGCGAAGAUGGCGUGCCAUUACAGCGAAAGCGAGGAAGGAAGAUGUGAUAUUCCGGCGACCAAAAAACCUUGUAGAAGGCAAGUUGGAGCCGAUGGUCGCAGAUCUGAAGAAUAUGGCAUAGGAGACCCUUGAAGGCGGGCUGGGGAAUUGGAGAAAGGAGGAAGGGAGAUCCCCGGAGAAAGAGGACAAAGAAGAGGCACCGUUGAAGAAGAUCCAGACCAUCCCUGUGAUUAUGGGGCAGACCUGUGCGCCAGUAAUGGAGCCCUGCGAGCAGAAGAGGAAACCAGCAAAGGUACGAGAUUUGUUUGCCAUUCCUAAAAUUGUAGGAAGUCGGGGAUGGAAGGCCACCGGAGAGAUUGGGAAGGCCCCGAUUGGUGGUGCGGGGAAUAGGAAAGAGACCAGGCCUGCUAGUUUCCUUUCUCAGCGAUCAACGGAAGAUUUUUGGGAGGUAACAGAGAGCAGGGAGGGAUUUGGACGACUGAAAAGGAAUGGUACAGUAGAAUCCGGUGAGGAAAUCAGGAGAGCAAUCUUCGGAUUCCGGCCUGGUUGGGCUAUCUCCGGGGAAGGAAGAUUGGAGAAGACGAUCCAUAUAAGGUGUAGAAGAAGGGGAGCCAGCCUCCAGAAGAAAAUCACAUCUUCUUCCCCUGUAGUUGUGAGCGCCAUGGCACCUGCAACCCAUCCAAAGAAGAAUGCUGCUGAUGAGAAGAGCGAGAUCAGGAGCUGUGGAGGGGACAACAUCACCCCCUUUGUUCAGCGCCCUGGCAAGGAGCACAUGAGGGAGGGGCAUGGUGUUGAGACCAUGUCCUCGGCUGUCCGCCGGGAGAGAGAAGAAGCUGUGGCGGUGGAGAAGGGUGGCCGACCGACGCCGCUGCUAGUCCCGGAGGAGGCGUUGGGAAAGUUGAGCCUGCUGGAUGAGGAUGACAAUGCUCUGGUGGUGGACUUCAAGGAGGCCGCCAAGAAUUUCUGUAAGUGGCUCAUCGUCGUUGUGUAUCUGACAUCAAGGGUGUACAGCCCAAAUGCCCUGUUCACCACCAUGAGGCGGGUGUGGAAGCCGCAUGGGGACAUGACAGAAAAGCCGAUGCCGGGCAACCGGUUCAUCAUUGAACUGCAGCAUGAAGGUGACUAUCUCCACAUCCUACGGGGUGGCCCGUGGAUCCAUGACAACGACACCCUGCUGGUGGCGGCGCAUGAUGGCAUGAGGGCGGCUGCGGAGGUCCCCGUCGACAUCCUGCCCAUGUGGGCUCGCAUCUACGAACUCCCGCCGUUCAUCAUGAUGGACGAUACCCUCUGCGAGCAAGCGGGCAAGAAGCUGGGAAAGGUGCGGCUGGUCCACACCAACAAUAAUGGCCGCACCUUAGAUCAGUUCCUCCGCAUCCGGAUCGAGCACAAGGUGGUUGAACCGCUAAGGAGGUGGAUAAAGAUUGAAGGCACGGAUGGAAGAGAUGCUAAAAGAUGCCCUGUAAAGUAUGAGCACGUUCCCCAUUUUUGUUUUUAUUGUGGCAUCAUUGGGCACACAGAGAAAUCAUGUCUGAUAAUAGAAGAGGAGAAGAUAGGGCGGUUCUCUACGGAGCAGCCUGCCUCGCCAUACAAGAUGUUCGAGCACCGGAGCUUCUAUAUGCCAGGGGAGGUGAGCAGUGCCAAGCGCAACCUCCAGUUUGGUAGGCUCCCUUCACAGGCUCUUGUGAUGGAUGCAGAAGAUGGAAACGGGAAGAAAGCAGGGGAGACAGAAAAGUUGGGCACCAAUAUGAAGGCCACCGACAACGAUGAGCGGACGACAACGGAUCCCAUGAUCAAGGCUGUCGUGAAAGGGGUGGUUGCCGCUGUGGAGAAUCUCAAGGCCAAUGAAGAGGUUGUAGCGGACAGAGUACACAGGAUAACUAACAUUCCUAUGCAGGUGAAUCCAGAACAGCAAGUAAAGUCGAAGACAGUCUGGAAUCAGCGUGCCCGUUCUGAACAUUCCAGGGCUAGCAGCAAUGGGCGUGGGAAGCCUCUCUUCCAGGCGGCCAAAAGGAACCCAGGGCUGGGACGACUGGCUGCAGCUAUCAGGGCCAGAGUGGCCAAGCAUACUGCUGGCCUUGCUACUGGUCGUGAAGCCAACAAGCCUUCUGAUGCCCCAGUUCAUCCAAGGGGUGUUGAUGGCCUUGUAGUGACCACCCCAGCACAUGAGGUGAUGGGGGUCGCUGCAAUUCAGCAACUGGCGCUGCAUCCAUAUGCUGGGGGUGCUACUGAUGGGCCAGUGCAGCCAGCGGUGGCCUACUCCCCGAUCCGCGAAUAUGGCAGGAGUGACAGCUCUAUUUGCCGUGAGUUGUACGGUCCAGAUGACACCAACAACGCUGCCUGCGUAUACCGCCGGAAGAAUCAAGUUCUUGGUAAGCGCAGCGGAGAGGACCGAGCUCCAAUGGAUCUGGAUGAUGAGAACAACCUGCCAAAGUUCAGUUUUGAGAGCAGCAAGAAGAGCAGAGGAUCACCUUCGGUGUCGCUGGAGGAGGAGACCAGGAAGGAGGACGCCAAGAAAUCGGAGGCAACCAGCCAUGGGGCCGCUGGUCAACUGACAGGCACGGAUGAGCGUGCCUGUCAGGAGCCAUGACGAUACUUUGUUGGAACUGCCGGGGCUUGGGCCGACCCCGGAAAGUUCAAGAAUUGGUGAGGCUUGUGCAUGCUCAGCGUCCAAAAUUUUUGUUUCUUUCUGAAACUCGUCAAAAUAAAAGGUUUGUAGAAGGUCUUAGAUGGAGGCUAGGCCUCCGCAAUGUAGUUUCCUAUAUAGAAGAAGGUAAAGGGGGUGGCCUAGCUUUGUUCUGGGAUGAGAGUGUCGAUGUUGAGCUCUUUAAGCUAGGCGAGAGAUUUAUUGAUGUAUUCAUUUGUAAUAUGCCCUCUGGAAUAAAGUGGAGAUGCACCUUUGUUUAUGGAGAGCCUCGUACACACUUGCGCCAUCUUAUGUGGGAUCUAAUGCGUAAAAUGAAAAACCUAACCUCGCCGGGACCAUGGCUGAUGGCAGGCGAUUUCAAUGAGUGUAUGUGGCAGGAAGAGCAUUUUUCUAGAACGUGUAGAAAUAAAAAACAAAUGUUUAAUUUUAGAGAAAUCCUAUCCCACUGUGAUCUUCAUGACUUAGGUUUCUUAGGGGCGCCGUGGACUUUUGACAAUGGCCAAGAUGGCGACCGCAAUGUUAAAGUUAGACUUGACAGGGCGGUGGCGAACCCGGAAUGGAUGAAUAUUUCCCAAACAAUCAGGUUAAUCACAUAGUUAGUACAGCUUCAGAUCAUUGCCCCAUUGAGGUGUGCUGUGUGCAGCAACCUGUACACCAUCCAGUCAGUCAACAACGUAGGUAUGAAGCUUUCUGGGAAAAGGAUAACAAAUUAACUGAAGAAGUUGAGUUGGCUUGGUCAAAGCAUCGGUCAGCCAGAGAUUUAGGAGAUAUUACAGCAAACCUAUCAGGUGUGAUGAGUUCUCUUCACGACUAGAGCAAACGGAAUUUUGGUUCUAUCACAAAGAAAAUAAAGGACCUUCAUAAUAAAAUUCAGGCUAUCAGUCACCGUAAUGACAGUUUCGCAAACUCUGAGCGAAAGCGACUAAGAAAGGAACUAGAUGAACUACAAGAUAAAGAAGAGAUUGCUUGGCGGCAAAGAUCGAGAGUGGAGUGGCUGAAGGAGGGCGAUCGAAAUACAAAUUAUUUUCAUCGAAAAGCUACUUGGCGCGCAAAGAAAAACUCUAUCCGGAAGCUUCAAGAUGAGGCGGGUAACAUUAUUGACAAAAAAGAGGAUUUGGAAGACAUGGCCACAAGUUUUUUCCAGGAGCUCUUCACCAAAGAUAAUCAGAUCGAACCUAAUAUUAUCCUUGACCAUGUCCAAGGCCGGGUUAAUGCUGCUAUGAAUGAUACAUUAUGUAAAGAACUCAGUGAUGAUGAGAUUGCAAAUGCUUUAUUCCAAAUCGGGCCACUAAAAGCGCCUGGGGCAGACGGCUUCCCGGCUCGUUUUUUCCAAAGACACUGGGCUACUUUAAAAGAUGAUAUUAUUCGGGCUGUAAAGAAAUUUUUUGCUGAUGGAGUUAUGCCUGAUGGGGUGAAUGAUACAGUUAUAGUCCUUAUUCCAAAGAAGAAAGACCCAGUUAAGUUGAAGGAUUUCAGACAAAUAAGUUUAUGCAACGUUGUUUAUAAAAUCAUAGCUAAGUGUCUGGUAAAUCGCCUUACACCUUUGCUCGAGGAUAUUAUAGCCCCCACCCAAAGUGCCUUCAUUCCUGGGAGGAUGAUUACGGAUAACGCCUUAAUAGCCUUUGAGUGUAUAAAUACCAUGCAAAAGUCAUGUGAUGCCAAAGGAUCUUUUUGCGCUUACAAACUAGAUCUGACAAAAGUGUAUGAUCGUGUGGACUAGGACUACCUUGAGGGGGUUUUGAGGAAAUUUGGCUUUGCGGACCAAUGGAUUAGAUGGACGAUGAGUUGUGUGACGUCAGUCAGGUAUGCCGUGAGAAUGAACGGGACUAUCCUCCAGUCCUUUUCGCCUUCUCGGGGCCUGCGUCAAGGUGACCCGUAUUCUCCUUACCUAUUCCUGCUCGUUGCCGAUGGUCUCUCUACUCUGCUACAAUCGGAGAUCAACACUGGUCAUAUUCAGGAGUUCAAGAUCUGCAGAGGGGCGCCUGGCAUUUCUCACUUACUAUUCGCGGAUGAUAGCCUGUUAUUCUUUAAGGCGAAUCAGGACCAAGCCUCGAGAAUUAAGAAUGUACUAACGAGGUAUGAAAAGGCUACGGGCCAACUGUUAAGUCCUAGUAAAUGCUCUAUCAUGCUUGGCAAAUCCUGUAGUCAGGAGGAAGGAAAGAGAGUGGCACAAAUCCUGGGUGUUCAGAAAAUUGAUUUUGAAGAAAAGUAUCUAGGACUUCCAGUCCCUGAAGGAAGAAUGAAGAAUGGUAAAUUUCAGCCCAUUAAAGAGCGUUCAUUGAAGAGAUGUACGGAUUGGUGUGAGAGAUAUUUAUCUAGUGCGGCUAAGGAGAGCCUCAUAAAAUCGGUACUCCAGGCACUAUCUACCUAUGCCAUGAGUGUGUUCAAAUUUUCUGCAGGCUUAUGUGAGGAGCUGUCACAGAUCACCAGAAACUUUUGAUGGGGGGACGAAAAUGAUAGAAGAAAGAUACACUGGCUUGCCUGGGAUAAGCUGCUAAUGCCAAAAGAGAAGGGAGGUAUGGGAUUCCGGGAGCUCCGCUUAUUUAAUCAAGCUCUCCUGGCGAAGCAGGCUUGGCGACUUAUCCAAUUUCCGGACAGCUUAUGUGCGAGACUGUUAAAGGCAAAAUUCUACCCACAUGGCAAUCUUGCUGACACUGCUUUUAUCCAGAACGCGUCACCGUGCUGGCAAGGAAUCUGUCAUGGUUUGGAUCUCCUUAAGAAAGGCAUUGUUUGGAGGAUUGGUGAAGGUGAUAAAGUCAGAGUGUGGAGAGAUAAUUGGAUCCCAAGGGGGAAAUUUAAAAAUCACUGGGAAAAAAUCUCGUACUAGGAUAAAGUGGGUCUCCGAACUGAUCGAUCCAGUGACAAGGACAUGGAAUGAGGAACUGAUUAGGAAAAUAUUACUACCUCAUGAUGUUGACGAAGUGCUAAAAAUUCGCCUUCCACAGCCUACCUCUGAGGAUUUUAUAGCAUGGCACUUUGAACGCUCAGGUGUUUUUUCGGUUCGCAGUGCGUACAGGCUAGUCGUUAAUGACAAGGAGGCGAAUCGAGAUCUGGGACAAAGCAGUACGGCGCCAACUGGAGAAAGAAAGAUUUGGAGCGUGCUUUGGAAAGCAAAUGUCCCUCCCAAGAUUAGAAAUUUUGGGUGGCGUUUGGCGACAGAGUCACUCGGAGUUCAGACAAGUAGACAUAAGAGAGGGUUGGAGCUAUUCCGUACAUGCUCUAUUUGUGGGAUGGAACCAGAAGAUGGAUAUCACGCAGUCAUGAGAUGCACAAAAGCUAAAGCCCUGCGUGACACCAUGCGUGAGGUCUGGAACCUUCCCCGGGACACUGAUCUCACAUGUACGGGGCGUGAGUGGGUCCUUCUAACUCUUGAUAAGGCGAAUGAGGAGGAGCGUACACACCUCCUCUUCAUCUGGUGGCGAGCGUGGCACCUUAGAAAUAACAUUAUAUUUGGUGACGGGAAAGAUACAAUAAAGGCAUCAACAGAUUUCCUACAAAGUUAUGCUAGCUCCUUUGCGGCGAUUAGAGCGGGACAGUCGCUUCCUGACUUUAAAAGAAAAGGAGAAGUGAUGCCAGGCAUUUUACCCCGUGAGACUAAACAGAAAGAUGCAGAUUAUAAAUGGGUCAGACCUAACUCAGGUUGGCUCAAACUGAAUGUUGAUGCAAGCUUUAUUCAGGAAACAAACCAUGGAGCUUGGGGGGCGGUUCUACGAGAUACAAAUGGGGCGGUGAUUGGAUCUGCUUGGAACACAAUCCGUAACUGCGCUAGUGCUGAAGCGGCCGAAGCUGAAGCUUGUCUUGAAGGAAUCCGAGAUACCAUGCAGUUCAUAGACCGGCCAGUAGUUAUUGAGAGCGACUGUGCGAAUGUCAUCCAAUAAAUUUCUUCAAAGGACUUUAAUAGAUCUCCCAUUGGUAGCUUGUGUAGGGAAAUUCAGAGUUUGCUGGGCCAACUCCCUGAUUUUACUAUUGCUAAGAUCCUUAGAAAUGGCAAUAGGGUUGCCCAUGCUCUCGCUAGUUUUGGUAGGAGUGGUGUGGGUAAGGGUGUGUUGAUCGGCUCAGUUCCAGCCUGCGUGUUGCGACUGGUCGAUGAUGAUUGUAAUGAACCUAUGUUGAUUAUUUAAUAUAAUACACACCUUUUUCAAAAAAGAAGAAGUCGUCGUGCUGAGGCACCAAAAAACCAGUACACUAAAAAAGUAAUCACUGUAGUUGAAGAGAAGUAUAGAUCGAAAGAAUCUAACGUGAAAACACAUCAACGUUGGCGAACGAAGACCGGAUUUGAGCAAAUCCACCAAUGACAACCACCGACCGUAUCGUGUGAGAUCCAUUAGAGAGACACCUCCACGCGCCCUUUACGACGCUAGUCGCACCGCCAGGACGGGGGGCAAGACUGAGGAUAGAAACAAGAUUUUUCUAGAAUUAUAUGCAUUUAACAGGUGAGUACCGGGAUUAGAACCUGGGUCAAAUCUUUCCCUUUUGCGCACCGUUUUGUUCAAAGUUCUUGGUGCGCGGAAGGCAUCAAAGCGCCGAGAACGGACACACGCUGUUUCGAGCACAUAGUGGGAACGCUUCUCAGCCACAAAUUACUGUACAUACCAGAUUAUAUAACUAGUAUUUAAUUCAAUUAGAAGAAGGUCUAGUCUAGAAUGAAAACAAGAACUAAAUCAGGACGGCCGACGAAGGAGCAGUGUGUUGGCGCGUCAUGCUCCGGCGCAUUCGUCGUCCGGGCAGUGGGCGGCGCGUCGCUCUGACGCCGGGAACGUCCACGGCGAAACGGACGGCUUGGUAUCUACAUGGUCUGUUGCGAGGUCAUUUUCCGGCCACCCUUAAUUAUUCAUUCUCCUCUGCGUGUACACAAGAUGAUAGUUAGUUGGUUAUCCUCCGUGCUGUGCUGUCCAUGCAUAACUCGGCACGCUAAUUCCCUUCUUGUCCCAUCCCGCCCCAGCUAAUUUGAUCAACCACGCAUGCUUGAUAAUGGGUUGCACAACAUGAUACUCCUACAUAAUACACACCGACAUUUCCGCUGGUUUAGCUCACCUCACCACUCACAUGUACUCCUUCUGUUUCUAGAUAUAAGUCUUUGUAGAGAUUUCAAUAUAAACUACAUACGGAGCAAAAUGAAUAAAUCUACACUCUAAACUACGCCUAUAUACAUCCGUAUGUAGUUCAUAUUUAGAAUCUCUAAAAAGACUUUAUAUUUAGGAAAGGAUGAAGUAUGUCACAAUCAAUUAAUUAGUUUUUUUAACACAGUACAGACGCAAGCGCUCAUACAUACGCACAUACACUCACCCCUAUGAACGCACACACGCACACCCUACCUCUAUGAGCACCUUCGAGAGACUGAGCCGGCAUAUCAUCUUGAGAUUUACGAAGUCACUGUAGGCGCUUCGUCGUCAACGGGAACGUCUCCUUCCACUGAAAGCGUAUCGCCGGAAAUCCUGAAAUAAUGCGAGCAUCAGGACUUGAACCCUGAUGGGCUGAGGAUACCACUAUCCCUCUAACCAUCCAACCACGGGUUGGUUCGCCAAUCAAUUAAUUAGUUGAUACUAUAAUAAGAAUCGGCUAAAGAACACCGAAAGCGUUAUAUCGAUGAGCUGUAUAGUAUAGACGUUAGACGGGUUCUGCACACGACGUGCCACCGAUGAAAGAUCUUAACUAGAACUAGAUCACAAAUAAGAGAUAUACUCGGUCCGGCGCAACAAAUUCAUGAUGGCGAUGCUACUAAAACAAGGUGGCAAGCCAAAAUUCAUCUGAUGCACCGUAAAAUGUCUCUUAAACUAAUGCCAAAGUACUUAGCAGCUUUACCCAAAAGCGUAUCCAAUCCAAACGCCGGAUUUUCUCACCGGUGCGGAGAAAAGGCGUCCGAGCAUCGCCCUCCCACUCACUCGCACGUCUCGGUCGCUUCCACUCAGCGGACUGAUUACUUAGCAGUGCGAUUGCUCAUCCGUACGCAAAUCAAAGCAGUUAACGUAGACACUUCGCACAGAGUUCUCAGACACGAAGUGAAAUGAAUCUCGUGCAGGCAAGGCAACCCGCUCGCGGUUUAUUUUGUUCCGGUUUUGUCCAACCAACGUGUCGGCUUCGNNNNNNNNNNNNNNNNNNNNNNNNNNNNNNNNNNNNNNNNNNNNNNNNNNNNNNNNNNNNNNNNNNNNNNNNNNNNNNNNNNNNNNNNNNNNNNNNNNNNNNNNNNNNNNNNNNNNNNNNNNNNNNNNNNNNNNNNNNNNNNNNNNNNNNNNNNNNNNNNNNNNNNNNNNNNNNNNNNNNNNNNNNNNNNNNNNNNNNNNNNNNNNNNNNNNNNNNNNNNNNNNNNNNNNNNNNNNNNNNNNNNNNNNNNNNNNNNNNNNNNNNNNNNNNNNNNNNNNNNNNNNNNNNNNNNNNNNNNNNNNNNNNNNNNNNNNNNNNNNNNNNNNNNNNNNNNNNNNNNNNNNNNAUCGGAUUCCUUUUGAAAGUUUCACUUGUCGAUCGAUGUGUGCACUGCACCUACUUACUUAACUUAUAUUGUUCAUAUUUUUGUAACAUUAUUAUAAGAAUUAGAAAGUUUUCCUUUUAGACUUAUAUGUUCCUUCUACUUCUAGUAGGAUAUCUAUAGGGCUAUGAACAUUACAUUACAUUAUCACAUUUAGAUUGUUGUGCCUACUUGCACUAUCUAGGAUAUCUCCCCGCGCUGUUUGGAGAUGGGCAUUACGCGAAUUAGAUAGCUUUGUUUAGAGUGUUUUUUUUAUUGUCACGUAUAUCAACAACUUACAUAAUAUUGGAUUGCACAUGCAUCUACAACGCCACUGUUUUUCAAGACCAUGUUCAGCCCGUGUAUCAACAAACUAACAAAAACGGAAACUUUGUUGUGGAUUCACAAGGUAAUUUAAGUUUGGUACCAACCACGGGAAGAUAUCUUUUGUUUCUUUAGAUUUCGAGGUAAAGUUAAGGCUGCCCUAUUGGUUCAAGACUGUAUAGCAUAUGUGGACUAGUCUAUCGUGCCAUAUUUGUCAAUCUGUUAGGUGAUUUGCUCUCACACAAUAUAAUGCUUCCAUGUUUCACCAGACACUCUUGAUCAACCCUAAAAAUUCAAGAGAACCCCUCUUUGUACAAGAAACUGUGUAUCAAGCAAGAUUUUGAUCGCAAAUGGACCGAUCGGCCAUAGCUUGACUAGCAGAAUGCUCGUGGGUUUCCUUAAUCGAAUGCAUUCAAAUCCUUGAGAUAUGCCCAGCUGGUGGAAGCACAUGGUAUUAUGGAAAAUGUUCUCUCAAUGCAAACCAAACUCCUCUGAUAUCAAUAAACUUCAAAUUCCAUAUUAACCCAAAAAAAAGUUUCAACUAUAGUGCAAUAUUCGAUCUACACAAACAGUGUGAAGAUGUUACGUUCACAUCUUGCAUUGUGAAUCUUGAACCAAAAGUCAUAUAAGUGAUAACCUAAAUGACGUGGAAAAUGGCAUGGAAGAUGAGCAUGCGAGAAAAAAAAAGUUUGAACUAUAGUGCAAUAUUCAGUUUAACCCGGAGUAGUAAACAUCUUACAUUCGCGUAUUGCAUUGCGAAUCUUGAACCAAACGCCAUAUAAAUGAUAACCUGAAUGGUUUGGAAAAUUGCAUGAAAGAUGACCACAUGAUAGCGAGAGCUAUAUAGGGAUUACAAUCCCACACGGACCAUGUGAAAAAUCCUUUGAUAAUCCACACACCACAUUAUGCGGAUUAGAUGGUUUUUUACUUGGAGCUAUUUCUUACUUCUAGAAUAUAUGUUACAUUAGUGUGCCUACUUUUAAAUAUUGAAUUGCGUAAACCAUACCACAAAAAAUUAUACACAUAGAACCAAAAUGACAAACACAUGCGUAGAUUACAGAAUAAUUUGAGUUUGGUACGAAUUCAGGAGAAUAUUUUUUGUAUGUAGAUUUGGAGUGCGUUUAUCAUCCUUGUGUAUGUAGAUUUGGAGUUGAAGCUCCAUGAGAAUAUAUGUUUAUCAUCCUUGUGUAUGUAAAUUUGGAGUUGAAGCUCCAUGAGGUGACAUAUAUAAGUCGCUUCAUAUCCAUGUUCCCCAAUAUGUGCUCCAUCACAAUGUUUUUUUAAUAUCGUCUUUUUGCUUCGAUACAAAAUGAUAUAGUCUUUGGAGCACUAGUUCAAGACCACAAAGUUAGAAAAAAAGUUACCACUCAGGCGAGGAGCGUGAAACGUGGAAGGCUAUCAUACCAAUCUACAUCAAGCCAUAUUCAUCAAUUGUCAAGCCAUUUGACCGCACGUGAUGUGUCGCUAUUCACACAAGAAAAAUUGUUCUAGGUAGAGAAUUGUGUGCCAAAGAGAACUUGAACUGCAAAGUAAAUGACCGACUAGCAGAGAGCCCAAAAAAUUCGGGAAUAGAAUGAGAUAUGCCCAUUGGAAUAUGUACAAAUGGAGUGAAAAGUACAUAUCACUAGAGGAAAUGUUUUCUCAACGCAAACCGAACUCCACACAUAGACUGUCAUUGCAAUCUAUAGUUAACCAAAUAAGUUUCAAGAACCGUGCAUAGGGAUUACACCGACAACGCAAAACCUUUGCAUCUACACAUGGCACUGCGAGCCUUGAGCCAAACGCCAGCUAAGAGACAACCCAAAUGAUGUGGAAAUGACUCAAAACAUGACGUAAAGAUCAUGAGAGAUAAAGUCUUUGGAGUAAAUCGGUUCAAGAUCCUGAAGUUAGAAAAUAGUUAUCACUCAGGAGAGGCACAUGCUUCAUCAAUCCAUCAAGAAAAUUUACCUCACAUUUUUUUCACUGUUCACCAGAAGCUUAAUCAGCCUUGAAACACACAAGAAAAUCCUUCUUGUCGAAGAGGAUUGUGUAUCAAAGGGAGACUCGAAUCAUAAAGUAAGUGAUCGACUAGCAAAGAGCCAAAAAUUCCCUGCUUGACUGAGAUAUGCCCAUUUGAAUCAUACAACGGAGCCGGAAGUGCAAUCUACUAGAGGAAAUGUUUUCUCAAGGCAACCUAAGCUCCACUCAUAAUGACUGUCAUUGCAUUCUAUAGUAAACCAAGUAAGUUUCCACUACUGUCAUAUAUAGGGUUUGCACCGAUAGUGCAAAACCUUAACAUGUACGUAUGGCAUUGUGAAUGUCGAGCCAAGUGCCAACUAAGAGAUAAACUCGAGAUGUGGAAAUGACUUGAAACAUGACGCGGAGAGCAUGAGAGCUAAAGUCUUUGAAGCAAACCGGUUCAAGAUCCUGAAGUUAGAAAAUAGUUAUCACUCAGGAGAGGAACAUGAAAUGUGGAAGGCUAUCCCACCAGUCUACAUCAAUCCGUCCAUCAAAGUGACCUCACAUUUUUUUCACUAUUCACCAUAAGCUUAAUUAGCCUUGAAAACACAAGAAAAUCCUUCUUGUCGAAGAGGAUCGUGUAUCAAAGGGAGACUUGAAUCAUAAAGUAAACGAUAGACUAGCAGAAAGCCAAAAGGGUUCUCUAAUUGAAUGGGGUAUGCCCAUUGAAAUCGUAAUAAUGGAGUCGGAAGUGCAUAUCACUAGAGGAAAUGUUUUCUCAACGCAACCCAAACUCCACCCAUGAUGGCUAUCAUUGCAUUCCAUAGUAAACCAAAUAAGUUUCCAUUACCGUCCAAUAUAGGCUUUGCACCGACAGUGCAAAACCUUAACGUGUAUGCAUGGCAUUGUGAACGUCGAGCCAAAUGCCAACUAAGAGAUAACUUGGAUGGCGUGGAAAUGUCUCGAAACAUGACGUAGAGAGCACGAGAGAUAAAGUUGACUUUGGUGCAAACCGGUUCAAGUUCUCGAAGUUAGAAAAAUAGUUACACUCAGGAGAGGAACAUGAAACAUGAAAGCUAUCACACCAGUCUACAUCGAGCCAUAUUCAUCAACCCGUCUAGCAAACUGACCUCACAUAACUGUGUCACCAUUCACCAGAAGCUUAAUCAACCUUGAAACACACGAGAAAAUCCUUCUUGUCAAAGAGGAUUGUGUAACAAAGAGAGAUUAGAAUCAUAAAGCUAAUGGUCGACGAGCAGAGAGGCAUGAGGAUUCCUGAAUUGAAUGGGAUAUGCCCAUUGAAAUUCUUACUCAUAGAGUCGGAAGCGCAUAUACCACUAAAUGAAAUGUUUUCUCCGCAAACCAAACUCCACUUGUAAUGAUUGGCAUUUCACUCCAUAUAGUAAACCAAGUAAGUUUCGACUAUCGCCCAACAUAGUUUGCUUCCACCGACAGUGUGAAAACAUCUACGUGUACGCCUGGCAAUGCGAACGCCAGCUAAGGGAUAACUUGGACGACAUGUAAAUCACUCAGAAGACGACGCCGAGAGCACGAGAGAGCUAUCCGGGGAUAGAGAUCCCACCCGACGAUACAUGCAAGACCCAUCGACGCAAACGCCACAUACCCUAUGCGGUGGGCGUCGUCAGCCACAACAUCUGCACCGAUCGAUGCAUACAGACACAACUUAAGAUGAAAAAAAAGAUGGAUGUGUGCACGCUAGCUCUUUUGUGUUUGCGAGCCCCAACCUCUGCACCGAUCGACACACACGACUUUAAGAUGGACGGGUGCAAGCUAGCUCUUUCGCGUCGCCGAGCACCAACCUCUGCACCGAUCGACGCACACAGCUUAAGAUGGACGCGUGCACGCUAGCCCUUUUGCGUCGCCGAGCCCCAACCUCGACACCGAUUGAUGCACACGAAUUAAGAUGAAAAAAAAAUGGAUGUGUGCACGCUAGCUCUUUUGUGUCGCUGAGCCCCAACCUCUGCGCCGAUCGACGCACACGACUUAAGAUGGACGCGUGCAAGCUAGCUCUUUUGUGUCGUCGAGCCCCAUCCUCUGCACCGGUCGAUGCACACGACUUAAGAUGGACGCGUGCACGGUAACUUUUUUUUUUAGAAGGAGAGUGUGUGGAAAGGGCGUAACAAGAAAAAGGAAAAAAUAAUACCAGGGGAGGGGAGGGAAGGAGUGUGUGUGACCGGAGGCCGGGUGAGACGCACGCGCGGCCUCGGUCCCGGCGCGGGAGGAGACAUACAUUCUCUGCGCUGCCGACACUCCAAUAAACCAUUCACCCCACGGCGCCCGCCGUGAAAGCAAAUCGCACCACCACCUACCUACCGGAUCCAUCCAUCACCUGCUCCUCGCACACCGCCGCAGAGGAUCCCGCGCGCGGAGGUUGGCCCGGCCCUUUCCGGCGCGUUACCGCUCCCGUCCCCCUCUUUUAGUGCUCCCUCCCCUGCCACUGCUCCACUCCACCCCACCCCCACCCCCACCCCCGCUCUGCCUCCUCCGCCGCCCCACCACCACCACCUUCACUCCCCUGCUGCCGCCGCUCGGAGCUCUCCUCUGCCUUCUCCCGCCGCAGGUACGAUCCGGCCGGACCGAAGUCCUUUCCCAAAACCCUGCCGCAAAACCGCUCUGCUUCUCGUUUCUUUCCAUUUUCGUUCCUUCGGUUUUCUUGAUCGCGGGCGCUCGCCGGUGUCUCGUGGCAGGAUUCCGGACUUCGGAGGGCGGCGGCGGAGAUGAUGCACGGCAAGUCGGACUCGGACAUCACGAGCCUGGCGGCGUCGUCGCCGCCGCGGUCGCCGAAGCGUGGCGCGGGGGCCGGCGGCGGCGCCUACUACGUGCAGAGCCCGUCGCGGGACUCGGCGCACGACGGCGGGGGCGCCGGCGGGUACAAGUCCUCGUCGAUGCAGGCGACGCCGGUCUACAACAGCCCCAACGAGUCCCCCUCGCACCCGUCCUACGGCCGCCACUCCCGGGCCUCCUCCGUCAGCCGCUUCUCCGGCAUCCUCCGCGGCGGCAGCGGGCGCAAGGGCGGCGGCGACCUCAAGGCGGUGAACGCCAAGGGGUGGCCCGAGUGCAGCGUCAUCGAGGAGGAGGGCUCCUACGAGGGCCUCUCCGGCGGCGACAGCGGCCUCUCCGGCCGCUGCAAGCUCGCGCUCGCCUUCGUCAGCUUCCUCCUGCUCUUCACCGUCGUCUGCCUCAUCGUCUGGGGCGCCGCCCGCCCCUACGAGCCCGACGUCGUCGUCAAGGUAGCAUAUCCACAUCCAUUCAUGCAUCCACCCUGCUUGGUUUACUUCCUCGGCACACUCUGAACUGAAUUUUUCCUACAUGAUAAUAUGAUAUGAAUUUAAACAUCAAUUGCUCUAGUUUCACUUGUGUCUCCGGGUAGAUUGAAUUUAAACAUCAAUUGCAUUACUAAUUUAAUUCAAAUCUCCGGGUAGAAUGGUCAGCAAAGACUCUGAAUUGUUGCAAACAAAAUUUGUGCUAGUAGAUCCAUUUGAGCUUUGUUAUCUCUAGAAUCGGCGCUUACUCACCGUGGUUCCUUGCUCUGAACACGAACUCAAAGGGUAUUUGUUCUUUUUUUACCAUUAGUAAUGUAAAUCCUGUUAGUCUAAGGCAAAGCACCGCUGACUGAAGAAGAGCCAAAUCAGCUGAAACAGCUUCUUCGCUGGGCAUUUUCUGACCCCCUCUUCAAAAAACCAAACUUCGUUGGACGCUAGUGAUAGGCCACUAAAUAAAUAUACUAUACAGAGAGAGAAACAUAAAACAAUGACCACGAGGCAAGAUAAAUUUUAUUUUCUUCGUUGUGCUGUUUAUGAUGGAGAUGUUGUCGGCUGGCACUGCGGUCAGCCCAGCUUGUCGACUGUCUCAGUCACAUUUCCAAACCUUCCCCUGUUUACAAGAAAGUUUUACAGUAGUUAAAUCACAGUACAAUGUACUUUUGUACCACAGUGGUACGGUGAACUUCUGCUGCAGAUCUGAAUAUGCCGGUUCUGUAAAAGCUGUUCUAACCUAGAGCUUCGUUUUACUCUGUUUUUGCACAGAGCAUAGCCAUGGAUGACUUCUACUAACCAACAACUUAUUUUCACUCUGUUUUUGCGCAGAGCAUAGCCAUGGACAACUUCUAUGCCGGAGAGGGCACAGACCACAGUGGGGUUCCAACCAAGAUGGUCACGCUCAACUGCUCCCUGAACAUGGUGGUGUACAACCCUGCUUCAAUGUUCGGAAUUCAUGUCUCCUCGGGCCCUGUUCGCCUGCUCUAUUCGGAGAUCGCCAUCGGGGUUGGACAGGUAUGCCUAUCAUCAGCAUCCCCUGCCCCUUUUUGGUGUCUGGGUAACAGCCUAGAGGUGUUGUCAGUGCUUCUUCUUCGUCGUCGCAACUCAUUUGUCCAUUUGUGAAUAAUGGUGCUUCACAUCUUACCAUGUGGAGUAUGUGAACAGCAUGGGUGGUGAAUAACCGAUACCAUACCCCCUCUGUAAAUAAAUAUAAGAGCGUUUGGAUCACUACUUUUCACCUUCGCAUUUCACCACUCAAGUGAAUGGUGUGAAUUUGUAAAUUGUGUUCAAAAUACUGAAUCCUUGAAACAUUUUACAAUAUGCCGGACACUUUUUGUCCUUCUCGGAGUAUCGGAUUGAAGGUCAUGCAGAUUUAAACUAGGAAAGGCGGUAAUUUUGAGUCAAGAAAGGGGGAAUGCAUCGAUAGGGAUGUGCAUUCAGUAUAAAGAUUAGCAGGAUAGUAGGUUCAUCAAAUAUGUGCUGUAUUGGUUUGCCUCACAAUCACUGGUAAGUUCAAGAAGCUGAUGUUAACAUCUCUCCUACGAAUGCAGGUUCACAAGUACUACCAACCGAGCAAGAGCCACCGGCUGGUGUCGGCGGUGAUCCACGGCGAGAAGGUGCCUCUCUACGGCGCGGGGGGCGGGCUCUCGCUGUCGGGCAACGACGUGACGGUGCCGCUGACGGUGGACUUCGAGCUCGUCUCCCGGGGCUACGUCAUCGGCAAGCUGGUGCGGGUGACGCACAAGGUGCACGUGACGUGCCGCAUCGCCGUCGACGCCAAGAGGGCGAGGACCAGGAUCCCCAAGAAGGCCUGCGCCGUGUACAAGGCCUGAAGGACCGCCGCCGGUUGGCUUCCGGUCCUGUUUCUGCAGGUGAAGCCUGUAUUUACUGUUCUGCUGAAGAACAAUAAACAUGUACUAGCAGUAUAUAUAAGGAACUUGUUUGAGCUUCGGUUUUGUUUAUAUAAGUUACUCUCUUGUGUGGCGGUGGUUUUGUCUAUGAGGAAGUGGUUGUACCUAUGUGUGGUGUUAGGGUUUGGUUGGUUACAAGAUAGUAGUAAUGUAUUCAUGUUUGCAACUUCGCAUGUAGGUUGAGAGAGUAGGAUUGAGAGAGUAGGAUUGGUUUUGUUGCAUCAUAUUUCCGGAUAAACUCCCAUCAUUUUUCAGGAAGUAAAGAGAUCCAUCCAGGUAGCAAGAGAGCAAUAUCAUUGCCGCAUGGAUAGUUCAAUGUGCUCAUCAGCGCCUGACCCUAAGAUGGAUUCUAGGCCUGGUCACCUCACUUGGAGAGGUUGCAUCAUUCGGCGUUUGUUUCUCGAGCCUUGUGGUUUACUCGUUCCCGAGCUUCCUCAACAUUAGGAAAACGGUCCAAACACCCGACCCCGUCAUGGAGAUGAUCGAACGGUCCGAAUGCCUAUCUAGGAGAUGAUCGAACAAUCUGAAUGCCUGUCGUGGAGAUGAUUGGAUCAGCCAUAUUUUGAUUGCUUGCCCAGACGUACCUCGGAUUUCUAACGUGUAGAAUUCAUUCUAGAGUUACACCUGAACUCCCUAUCUGCAAAGUCUGUUAUUUAAUAACCAUUGGACCUGAGGCACCAGCACGGACAAGGUCAGGGCGCAUGGAGGCUAAAAAUUCAGAGUGUUCUACUGUAAUUGUCCCAAUAAAUUAUAUGAAUAUACUGUAGACGCAUCCGAAAAGGAUGGUACCUACCAUCCUGUGUUACAUUAAACGACAGUUCAAAGCAUCCGAAAAGACAUUGCAACCAAGUACAGCAGGAAGUGAAUCAGACAAUUUUCUAGAACAAAUCAACAAAAGUUUAGUUUCAGGCUUAGGUCAAACACUGGACUGAAUAUGACACGGAGGGAAUCAAGCAAUUUUAUUGAUGGAAUCAGACUUAUGAUGCUUUAAACUUCAGAAAAGAAUAACUUUGCUUCACUAGUGCUGAUCAUUUCAACAUUGACAGGAGCACAGGAUUUUUGUUUUUAAAAGACAGGAGCAAAGGAACAUAAACUCCCAUGCCCUAUUGUUCACCAGUAUGUCAAUGGUAAGAAAAGAUCUUACCACACUGACAAGAGGAGUAGAACAUGUAUUCCCACCCAUGUUUUACUGCACGUAAGAUUACAUAGUUUGAAUGCACAAAAAGUCUCAACAUAGAACAUAGAUAGUACAAUCAUUGUAAAAGAGGGCAUGCGCCAACAGCCUAACACAACAAUCUGGAAAUCACAAACCUCAAUCAUGAUACAAAUUAAUGACAGCCCCCACAAAGUUAAACAGUAAAUGCUGUUCCAGGAUUUGCUGCUGGCAACAUACACAUAGCUAGUGUCACUAAAUUAACUGGAAUAGAUGGCCACAUAAAGUGCAAAAAGAGGUUAGAGAGUACACUCGGCAACAGAAGAGAAGCAACGCAACAUCAGAAAGAAUUAACCAGAUAGCUGCUGAUAUUACUUGGGCCCUAUGAUUCGCCAUUAUCUAAAAGGUCAACAAUGGAACAGCAAAAUGCGAGCCAGAUUAUCAGUGCCAAUCUGCCAAUGCCUCUGAGUACAAGGGAACAUAAGGAAGAUAGGGCUCCAUUGAACCCUGUCCAAGAUCAUGGAUGAAAUGCACUUUCCCAGUAUCCAUUUCAUAAGACAUCAGUACCUUGUCAUGCCCAUAAACCAGGAAAAUUGUGUUUCGUUGUGGGUGGAGGGCGACAAUAUGGUACUCGUGUCCUAGCCGGACAUUCUUCACUCCAAAUAGAUUCAGAUACCUGACGCUGUGUUCCAAGACCCACACUUCACUGCCGUAGUCCUCGAGAACCCAGAUCGAGAGUUUAUAAAGAUCGUGCUGAUCACUAUUUGCCAGAUACAAACGCCCUCGAGACAGGUCAAUGAACCCGUCAUCAACAUCUAUUAUGGGGGCGUCCUCAUCGUCCGGCAUAGGAAUAGCCCUCCAAGUAGUUCCCUCCACAUCCACUGCCACCACCGCAGACUCGACGGCGAGCAAAUGCAGAAAACCAUUGACAAAGACACUUCUAGAAUCACUCACUAUCCUAGGUAGGAAGUCCCAACCGGUGUCCUUGUGACUCCAGGCCCCGGUUUUGGAGGAGUAGAUAUCAACCGCUCUGACGAACUCGUAACCAUCGUCAUCAUCGUUGGCAUUUGCAUCUGCAGCCCCAUCCUCCACGAACUGGAACACAUGGAAGUGCGAGGAGACGGCCGGGUCGAACCCCAAGCGAGCUGUCUGCAUCUUGCUGAAGAUGCCGGGCAAGGCGACCCAUUUCUCCGUGGCAGGAUUGCACACCACGUAAUAAAAUGCCCCCGCACCAAAGGUCUUGAAGCGGCGGCAGAGGAGUAGGCCGUUGCAGCUGUCCAGAAGGUGGAACUGAUGACAGUCAGGCAGGAAGGGGAGCGAAGGGCGGAUAGGAGCACGGCCUCCCGCCGAGACAUGGGCGAAAUUGUCAGUUGAGAAAUAGCCAGUGCUGGGGCCGCGGCUCGAGUAGAGGAAGCCAGCGAGGUCCUGGAGAUGGUACUGCGGCAGCGCCUUGCGGUGGUCGGGGUGGGAGAUGAUGCCGCGCCACCGCUUGGAGACGCACUUGAAGCGGCAGAGCGACCUGUACGGCACGCGCGACAGGAUCUCGACGAGGAGGUCUUCGGUGAGCUUGUCCGCUGGAUUCCGCCGCCUGCUGAUGUCCCUGGAGCCGUCCGCCAUCGCCGCGGAGAGAAGAGGCGGUCAAUCUGCAAACGGGGGUGGAGGAGGAGAGAUUGGAGAUCCAUCGACAUCGGUGGGGGGAGCAGCAAGGAAGGAAAAGAGGAUCUACGGCGAAUGUGGCGUACUUACCAGAUGAGAAGCGAACGACGGCGAGGGAGCCCGUUUGAGGUGCUCCCGUCCCCGCCGGCGAGUCUUUGGGUGCGCGGCGGCGGCGGCGUCGAGGCGAGGUGAUAUUUUUUUUUGAGGGAUCGAGGCGAGGUGAGGUGUGGCGUAGAACUCGAAGACAGGCGAAGUGAACGAGGAGUGUGGCUGUGUUGGGCUUUUGUCUAGUUUUCAGCCUGCACUUUCAGCCGUUCACCUAAAUCACUCCUCGACUUCUCAGAUGCUGACAAAUGUCGCAUUGUUACGUCACUUGUUACAACCUAUUCUUUUUUAUAGAUUUAUUAUUACUUAUUUAAAAUGUUUUAUCCCUUGACCGUGCGGUUCAACCGUUAGAUUUCUCACGGAGUUCUUUAAAACUAGGUCCAGUGUUAAUAGGUUUCAACAAACUUUUUUAAUAAAAAUCAGAAACCGGAAACAAAACUUGGAAAAAAACCAGUAAAAAACCAAAAUCCAAAAAAGAACACAAGAAGGGGAAAAACGGAAGAAAAAACCCGGAGCCCAGAAGCACGGUUGCGGUUUUCACUUUUCUUAAGGCGCAUAUUGUAUUUUUCCUUUUUUUUGGGGGGGGGGGGCAUAGAGUGUCCAAAACCUAGGAAAAUCAGGCAAAGGCUAGAAAAAAUAAUCUAAAAUACAAAAUGCAUAUAAUUGUUUUUUGAAAAUUCACAGAAAGCGUCCAACACACGAAAUGUGGCGACGGUUGGAUGCACCACUUGGCACGCUCCUAGACUAUAAAAAUGGACCUUGCGGGAGCCGCCCCACCCCCACCCACCCAUCCAAAGAGUAACCGUUGAUUACUUGCUCCCUUAGGUUGCUUGAUAGCGACCAAACAUGCAUGCCUAUGUUUGCUACGUUUCAUAUUAGGCUAGCCGAAGUAGGCCUGAACCAGUUCUCCCUUUUCAGGUUUUUUUAACCUUUUUUUCUCUCUUUCUAUUUUGUCAUGUUUGUUUUUUCUAUUCUUUUCCUUUUUCAUUUGUUUUUGUUUUUUCUAAAACUUUCUUUAUUGUUUUGCAAACAUCUUUCAAAUUAAUGCACAUUUUUGAAAAUCAUGAAAUUUAUUAAAAUAAUGAGUGUUUUUCGAAUUUGUGAACAUUUUUGUAAAAAUCAUGAACAUGUUUUGAUAAGAUUUUUUCAAUUGUGAUUUUUAUUGGAAUUUAGGAACACUAUCAUUACCAACUCACAUUUUUAUAGGAGUAUAGAUAACACUCCUAGGCACAAAGUUUAAAAUUUUGGUGUCAUAGAUGGGCUCUUCCUAAAAGUUGGGUGAACACUUAUAAUCUU
This 21974-nucleotide long non-coding RNA is filed under the name Triticum aestivum (bread wheat). Its description in RNAcentral is "long non-coding RNA (TAES_LNC017538)". Lineage: Eukaryota; Viridiplantae; Streptophyta; Magnoliopsida; Poales; Poaceae. The record is from RNAcentral.